UACGUGGGGGGCAAGCGUUGUCCGGAAUCACUGGGCGUAAAGCGCGCGCAGGCGGCGAUCUACGUCCGGGGUGAAAGCCCAGAGCUCAACUCUGGGACUGCCUUGGAUACGGGAUCGCUUGAGGAUCGGAGAGGCAAGGGGAAUUCCACGUGUAGCGGUGAAAUGCGUAGAGAUGUGGAGGAACACCUGUGGCGAAGGCGCCUUGCUGGCCGAUUUCUGACGCUGAGGCGCGAAAGCGUGGGGAGCAAACAGG
RNAcentral lists this ribosomal RNA (253 nucleotides) under uncultured bacterium. RNAcentral describes it as "partial 16S ribosomal RNA". It matches the Rfam family "Bacterial small subunit ribosomal RNA", at positions 524 to 776 of the family's 1533-position model. The record is from RNAcentral.